CAACUCCAAAUCAAAGCCACAAAAGUUUCACCUUCGAUUGAUACUCUCUACAUAGAUUAUAUAUAGGGUUUUAAAGUUUUGGUCUUUUUUUUUUUAUCCAAUCAACUGAAGAAAAUCAUGGAUCAGAAUCAGAAUCAGAAUCAGCAUCAGGUCGAUCUUACCCAUGAAACUAAACCACAAUCCCAAGAGUCCCAAAUUCUUGAGAAGCAGAAUCCUCACACCUCCGACUAUGCUCCUUAUCCAAAGCUCGACCC
RNAcentral lists this unclassified non-coding RNA (254 nucleotides) under Hevea brasiliensis (rubber tree). Lineage: Eukaryota; Viridiplantae; Streptophyta; Magnoliopsida; Malpighiales; Euphorbiaceae. The record is from RNAcentral.